UAGCAUAUCAAUAAGCGGAGGAAAAGAAACCAACAGGGAUUGCCUCAGUAACGGCGAGUGAAGCGGCAAGAGCUCAAAUUUGAAAGCUGGCCCCCUCGGGGUCCGCGUUGUAAUUUGCAGAGGAUGCUUCGGGUGCAGCCCCCGUCUAAGUGCCCUGGAACGGGCCGUCAUAGAGGGUGAGAAUCCCGUCUGGGACGGGGUGUCUGCGUCCGUGUGAAGCUCCUUCGACGAGUCGAGUUGUUUGGGAAUGCAGCUCUAAAUGGGUGGUAAAUUUCAUCUAAAGCUAAAUACUGGCCGGAGACCGAUAGCGCACAAGUAGAGUGAUCGAAAGAUGAAAAGCACUUUGAAAAGAGAGUUAAACAGCACGUGAAAUUGUUGAAAGGGAAGCGUUUGCGACCAGACUCGCCCGCGGGGUUCAGCCGGCAUUCGUGCCGGUGUACUUCCCCGUGGGCGGGCCAGCGUCGGUUUGGGCGGUCGGUCAAAGGCCCUCGGAAUGUAUCACCUCUCGGGGUGUCUUAUAGCCGAGGGUGCAAUGCGGCCUGCCCGGACCGAGGAACGCGCUUCGGCUCGGACGCUGGCGUAAUGGUCGUAAAUGACCCGUCUUGAAACACGGACCAAGGAGUCUAACAUCUACGCGAGUGUUCGGGUGUCAAACCCGUACGCGCAGUGAAAGCGAACGGAGGUGGGAGCCCCCUCGUGGGGCGCACCAUCGACCGAUCCUGAUGUCUUCGGAUGGAUUUGAGUACGAGCGUAGCUGUGGGGACCCGAAAGAUGGUGAACUAUGCCUGAAUAGGGCGAAGCCAGAGGAAACUCUGGUGGAGGCUCGCAGCGGUUCUGACGUGCAAAUCGAUCGUCAAAUUUGGGUAUAGGGGCGAAAGACUAAUCGAACCAUCUAGUAGCUGGUUCCUGCCGAAG
RNAcentral lists this ribosomal RNA (915 nucleotides) under Aspergillus shendaweii. RNAcentral describes it as "LSU rRNA". It matches the Rfam family "Eukaryotic large subunit ribosomal RNA", at positions 36 to 966 of the family's 3401-position model. The record is from RNAcentral. Lineage: Eukaryota; Fungi; Ascomycota; Eurotiomycetes; Eurotiales; Aspergillaceae.